Molecule: ribosomal RNA, 1331 nt
Filed under: Staphylococcus aureus
Lineage: Bacteria; Bacillati; Bacillota; Bacilli; Caryophanales; Staphylococcaceae
Description: partial 23S ribosomal RNA
Rfam family: Bacterial large subunit ribosomal RNA
Source: RNAcentral
GAUUAAGUUAUUAAGGGCGCACGGUGGAUGCCUUGGCACUAGAAGCCGAUGAAGGACGUUACUAACAACGAUAUGCUUUGGGGAGCUGUAAGUAAGCUUUGAUCCAGAGAUUUCCGAAUGGGGAAACCCAGCAUGAGUUAUGUCAUGUUAUCGAUAUGUGAAUACAUAGCAUAUCAGAAGGCACACCCGGAGAACUGAAACAUCUUAGUACCCGGAGGAAGAGAAAGAAAAUUCGAUUCCCUUAGUAGCGGCGAGCGAAACGGGAAGAGCCCAAACCAACAAGCUUGCUUGUUGGGGUUGUAGGACACUCUAUACGGAGUUACAAAGGACGACAUUAGACGAAUCAUCUGGAAAGAUGAAUCAAAGAAGGUAAUAAUCCUGUAGUCGAAAAUGUUGUCUCUCUUGAGUGGAUCCUGAGUACGACGGAGCACGUGAAAUUCCGUCGGAAUCUGGGAGGACCAUCUCCUAAGGCUAAAUACUCUCUAGUGACCGAUAGUGAACCAGUACCGUGAGGGAAAGGUGAAAAGCACCCCGGAAGGGGAGUGAAAUAGAACCUGAAACCGUGUGCUUACAAGUAGUCAGAGCCCGUUAAUGGGUGAUGGCGUGCCUUUUGUAGAAUGAACCGGCGAGUUACGAUUUGAUGCAAGGUUAAGCAGUAAAUGUGGAGCCGUAGCGAAAGCGAGUCUGAAUAGGGCGUUUAGUAUUUGGUCGUAGACCCGAAACCAGGUGAUCUACCCUUGGUCAGGUUGAAGUUCAGGUAACACUGAAUGGAGGACCGAACCGACUUACGUUGAAAAGUGAGCGGAUGAACUGAGGGUAGCGGAGAAAUUCCAAUCGAACCUGGAGAUAGCUGGUUCUCUCCGAAAUAGCUUUAGGGCUAGCCUCAAGUGAUGAUUAUUGGAGGUAGAGCACUGUUUGGACGAGGGGCCCCUCUCGGGUUACCGAAUUCAGACAAACUCCGAAUGCCAAUUAAUUUAACUUGGGAGUCAGAACAUGGGUGAUAAGGUCCGUGUUCGAAAGGGAAACAGCCCAGACCACCAGCUAAGGUCCCAAAAUAUAUGUUAAGUGGAAAAGGAUGUGGCGUUGCCCAGACAACUAGGAUGUUGGCUUAGAAGCAGCCAUCAUUUAAAGAGUGCGUAAUAGCUCACUAGUCGAGUGACACUGCGCCGAAAAUGUACCGGGGCUAAACAUAUUACCGAAGCUGUGGAUUGUCCUUUGGACAAUGGUAGGAGAGCGUUCUAAGGGCGUUGAAGCAUGAUCGUAAGGACAUGUGGAGCGCUUAGAAGUGAGAAUGCCGGUGUGAGUAGCGAAAGACGGGUGAGAAUCCCGUC